CGAACGCUGGCGGCGUGCCUAACACAUGCAAGUCGAGCGCGAAAGCUCCUUCGGGAGCCUUAAAGCGGCAGACGGGUGAGUAACACGUGGGUAACCUGUCCCUGAGUGGGGGAUAACUACUCGAAAGGGUGGCUAAUACCGCAUAAGACCACGGCCUUUUGGGGCUGAGGUCAAAGGCGCAAGCCGCUUAGGGAGGGGCCCGCGGCCGAUUAGCUAGUUGGCAGGGUAAUGGCCUACCAAGGCGACGAUCGGUAGCUGGUCUGAGAGGAUGAUCAGCCACACUGGUACUGAGACACGGACCAGACUCCUACGGGAGGCAGCAGUGGGGAAUAUUGCGCAAUGGGCGAAAGCCUGACGCAGCAACGCCGCGUGGGUGAUGAAGGCCUUCGGGUCGUAAAGCCCUGUCAGAUGGGACGAAGCAAGUGACGGUACCAUCGAAGGAAGCACCGGCUAACUCCGUGCCAGCAGCCGCGGUAAUACGGAGGGUGCAAGCGUUGUUCGGAAUCACUGGGCGUAAAGGGCGCGUAGGCGGUCCCAAAAGUCUGAUGUGAAAGCCCGGGGCUCAACCCCGGAAGUGCAUUGGAAACUGUGGGACUUGAGUUCGGGAGAGGAAGGCAGAAUUCCCGGUGUAGGGUUGAAAUCCGUAGAUAUCGGGAGGAAAACCGGUGGCGAAGGCGGCCUUCUGGAACGAAACUGACGCUGAGGCGCGAAAGCGUGGGGAGCAAACAGGAUUAGAGACCCUGGUAGUCCACGCUGUAAACGAUGGAUGCUGGGUGUGGGAUUCAAUACGGAAUUCCGUGCCGAAGCUAACGCAUUAAGCAUCCCGCCUGGGGAGUACGGUCGCAAGACUAAAACUCAAAU
This 861-nucleotide ribosomal RNA is filed under the name uncultured bacterium. Its description in RNAcentral is "bacterial SSU rRNA". It matches the Rfam family "Bacterial small subunit ribosomal RNA", at positions 30 to 906 of the family's 1533-position model. The record is from RNAcentral.